GCUUAUCCAAAAACAAAUUCCAGCAUAUUCAUUUGCUAGACACUACUAGCUUCUAUGGUCAAAUGAAACAAAAACCAAAACAACAAAAAAAAGGGCUUUUUAACAGCAAACACUCAAGAUGGCUUUGGUGCACACGGAUAAAAAAGUAUCCCAUGUAUACAAUGAAAUCUACUGUUGUGGGCCUAUUUUUCUGCCAGAGAUCCUGGACCUCUACAGAUGAAAACUUAACUGUCUGUCUAUUCUACACUCUAAAAAAAAGAUGGUUCUUUAAAGAUUCUUUACAUGGAGUAACAGUUAUAUUUAGAACCAUAGCUUCCUGAAGAACCCCUUUAUGCUGAAAUGGUUUUUGCUACUUUUGGCCUUGAACAUAAUUGUUUUUACAUAAACAAAUGGACACACUGUAAUUCUAAACUCAGUUGUGUAUUUCAGAUGCAUCACAUCCCACAACCUCAUCAUCUGCAGAUAAACGGUCACUCAGUCACACCAUAAUGAUGGACUUAAAGGCUACACUUAUAUGGCUCAAUACUGCUUUUCUGGAGCGCAGACUGUCAACAGUUUAACAGAAUAUGCAAGCGUGACCAGCCCUGUUCAGUUAAAGAUACGCAUCUCCUCUUCACCACCAAAUGCUGUCACAUCCUACAACCUCGUCAUCUGCAGAGAGAAACUGCCAUUCAAUCACACCAAAAUAUACAUAAUGAUGGACUUUCAGGCAUCAUAGAGGAUUAUGAAAAUACAGUAUUU
Onychostoma macrolepis is the source of this 741-nucleotide long non-coding RNA. RefSeq lists it as uncharacterized. The record is from RefSeq and is a predicted model, not a curated record. The transcript is spliced from 4 exons. NCBI's taxonomy places the organism in Eukaryota, Metazoa, Chordata, Actinopteri, Cypriniformes, Cyprinidae.